AAUUAAAUGGGCAGCCACCCACCUCCACCAAUCAAAGAGGAGGCAGCCAACCCUCUCCCUCUAUAAAUAGAGCUUGGCCGGCCACCUCCUCCCCAUUUGCUCAUUUUCUACACUCUCCACUCCUUCCUCCACUCCCCCACACUCCUCUCCUACCUCUUCCCCACGAGCUGAAGCUCCCCCAAGGCUCCAUGGCCGGCCAUGGCCAUGGGAUCACACCAAACCGCAGCUCUCCUUCUCUCUCAAGCUCCUCCUCCCCAUGAGAGCAUUCCUCUCACUCUCUUCUCCCCCAACCCUAGCUGGUUUCCUCUCCUCUUCUUCUUCCUCCAUUGCUAAGAUUGGAUCUUGAUGCAGGUGCAUGUUGGUCCAAGCAUGGAGAAGGUUGAGCAAUCCUCAGAUCUGAAGCUCUUGACCAAAAUCCAAAUCCAGUGAUUCAAAGUUCCGCAGAUAGGUAUUGAAAAGAUCUACAAUUUGGCGUUGGUCUCAUCCUCAAAUUCGUUACGGAUUUUGCAUGAUCAAGAUCUGGUCAGAUCUGACUUUGUCGAAUUAAACCAGGAGCCUGGAGACGAAUUUUUGAAUGAAACCAAUUGGGGGAUGUUUGGUUUAUACCAUGUUGAUAACCGAGAGAGGCAAUUGCUAAGUUGUGAUGCACUCAUACCUUUACUAGAUGCGAACAAUUCCGGAGAAGAAGAAGAAGUGGAAUCGGAUGAGAAGAUUAUUUAUAUUGUUGGAAUUCUUAUAUUGAUGGAGUUGAAAAAGUACAGGGACAAAUAAGCCAAGGCAAGCCAUCUCUUGAUCUCUGAAUAUUGAAUCUCAUAUGGUGGUUACUUUGUUAUUAUUAUUGUCUCUCGAUCUAUCUUGUGUGAUUUCUACUUUUGUUGUCGGAGCAUGCUUACCGUGAGCAUGUUUACUCUCUUUGGCACCUCGCCGACAAACCCCUUUUUGUAAAUGGUGGUUGUCAACACCAUGAUCUUGGUGUACCCUCUAAAUGUGAUGGGUAUGCCCACUUAUCUUGUGUGUGUCGACCUCUUGACACCCUUCUUGAACCCCUUGUUGAUGUUCUGCAUACUUACUCUCGAGUAUGUUGAACCCCUUGUUGAUCUUAUGCAUGCACACCCUGAGCAUGUAUGCCCCCUUGACCAUCUAUAUUAUCAUCUUCUUAGAGGUAUGGUGAUUAACAUCAUGAACCUUGUUGAAUCUUCCAACUUAUGUUGAUCAUAUACAUGCUUACCCCAAGCACGUAUGACCCCCUUUUGACACCGCAAUAAUCAUCUCCUUAGUGGUAUGAUGGCUAGCAUCAUGUCAUUGUGACUCUUAGUUCCUUCAUAAAACUAUAGGUUGGGAACCCCCUUGGAAAAAUACCUUGCUGAAAAGAAUUUUUGAAAACCUUGGGUGAGUUGGACUUACCCAAGUGUGUGUUUAUGAAAGGAAAGGAUCUUGGCAAAGAUGGUUGGAA
Non-coding RNA from Lolium perenne, 1453 nucleotides. Lineage: Eukaryota; Viridiplantae; Streptophyta; Magnoliopsida; Poales; Poaceae. The record is from RefSeq and is a predicted model, not a curated record.